GCUGGUGUGGCCGAGUGGUUUAAGGCACUAGUCUUCCAAACUAGAGUCAGCAAUGACCGCAGGUUCGAAUCCUGUCACCCGCUCCA
Molecule: transfer RNA, 86 nt
Filed under: Nitrososphaerota archaeon
Lineage: Archaea; Thermoproteati; Nitrososphaerota
Description: tRNA-Gly
Rfam family: tRNA
About the family: Transfer RNA (tRNA) molecules are approximately 80 nucleotides in length. Their secondary structure includes four short double-helical elements and three loops (D, anti-codon, and T loops).
Source: RNAcentral